GGAGGUUACUGCUAUCGGUGUUCGCCUACCUUUUGCGAGUCAUAUGUUCUUCGUGAACAUGGCGUACUGCUCAGUAACACGUGAAUAACCUGCCCUUGGGACCGGCAUAACCCCGGGAAACUGGGGAUAAUUCCGGAUGCCGCAUAUAUGCUGGAAUGCUUUAUGCGUGAAAUGGAUUCGUCUGCCCAAGGAUGGGUCUGCGGCCUAUCAGGUAGUAGUGGGUGUAAUGUACCUACUACCCUACAACGGGUACGGGUUGUGAAAGCAAAAGCCCGGAAAUGGAUUCUGAAACAUGAAUCCAGGCCCUACGGGGCGCACCAGGCGCGAAAACUUUACAAUGCGGGAAACCGUGAUAAGGGGACACCGAGUGCCAGCAACAUUUGUUGGCUGUCCAGGUGUGUAAACUACACCUGUUAGCAAGGGCCGGGCAAGACCGGUGC
RNAcentral lists this ribosomal RNA (440 nucleotides) under uncultured archaeon. RNAcentral describes it as "bacterial SSU rRNA". It matches the Rfam family "Archaeal small subunit ribosomal RNA", at positions 19 to 458 of the family's 1478-position model. The record is from RNAcentral.